RNAcentral lists this ribosomal RNA (196 nucleotides) under Exophiala pisciphila. RNAcentral's name for it is "partial large subunit ribosomal RNA". It matches the Rfam family "Eukaryotic large subunit ribosomal RNA", at positions 82 to 275 of the family's 3401-position model. Lineage: Eukaryota; Fungi; Ascomycota; Eurotiomycetes; Chaetothyriales; Herpotrichiellaceae. The record is from RNAcentral.
AGUAACGGCGAGUGAAGCGGCAACAGCUCAAAUUUGAAAUCUGGCCUCUUUGGGGUCCGAGUUGUAAUUUGUAGAGGAUGUUUCGGGUACCGCCUCGGUUUAAAUUUCUUGGAACAGAAUGUCAAAGAGGGUGAGAAUCCCGUCUUGGACCGGCGGUAGGGCCCAUGUGAAACUCCUUCGACGAGUCGAGUUGUUU